Molecule: non-coding RNA, 54 nt
Organism: Schistosoma rodhaini
Lineage: Eukaryota; Metazoa; Platyhelminthes; Trematoda; Strigeidida; Schistosomatidae
Source: Rfam
AGCUUUUUGAAUCCGUGAUGAGAUUUCGUCAGACACCAACCCAUUAGGGCUGAU